AAUUAAUAUUUUUGUAAGUCGCUCUGGAUAAGAGCGUCUGCUAAAUGACUAAAA
Molecule: non-coding RNA, 54 nt
Organism: Salmo salar (Atlantic salmon)
Lineage: Eukaryota; Metazoa; Chordata; Actinopteri; Salmoniformes; Salmonidae
Source: Rfam